RNAcentral lists this long non-coding RNA (464 nucleotides) under Elaeis guineensis (African oil palm). RNAcentral describes it as "long non-coding RNA (EGUI_LNC008359)". The record is from RNAcentral. Lineage: Eukaryota; Viridiplantae; Streptophyta; Magnoliopsida; Arecales; Arecaceae.
UCUGUAAAUAGAUGACUUCCCUCUUCCUUGAAUCCACUACCGAAUCCUUGAGGAAUCAUCGUGGAUAGUUCAAGAUUUCGUGAGUUUUUUUUGACCUGCCGUGAGGAAUAGUUUGCCGGAAACCCUUUCCCUAGCUUCGUCGGAUCGAGGUAAAAGCCUAGCAUUGUUUUUCCUAUCUUCUCUGGGUGCUCCCCCAUCGUUUAGAGCCGGCAAAGUCGCUGGAUUUGUUUUAAAAGAGGGAAAUCCCUGUUUUCCUUGUGGUUCCGCCUAUUUCCAUUGACAAUCGGUGUUGGGAUCGACCACUGUUUCACCGACCGCCGGUGACUGUGGCUACCGUCGAUGUCGUCUCCUGGUCAGCACGGUGCGGCACCGUUGGUUGCCGGCCGGGUUUCACGGCCAUGGCCGGGUGAAGAGAAGAAGGGGAAAGAGGGGCUCGGUUUCCCUAUUUGAAGAAGAGAGAAGAG